RNAcentral lists this ribosomal RNA (253 nucleotides) under uncultured bacterium. RNAcentral's name for it is "partial 16S ribosomal RNA". It matches the Rfam family "Bacterial small subunit ribosomal RNA", at positions 524 to 776 of the family's 1533-position model. The record is from RNAcentral.
GACGGAGGGUGCAAGCGUUGUUCGGAAUUACUGGGCGUAAAGCGCGGGCAGGUGGCCUUUUAAGUCCUUUGUGAAAUUCCGGAGCUCAACUCCGGAUGUGCAUAGGAUACUGGAAGGCUAGAGACUGGUAGAGGCGAGCGGAAUUCCUGGUGUAGCGGUGGAAUGCGUAGAUAUUGGGAGGAACACCAGUGGCGAAGGCGGCUACCUGGACCGGUGCUGACGCUGAUGCGCGAAAGCGUGGGGAGCAAACAGG